UCAUAAACCUGACAGGAGCGGCAGCCUCCGAUUUUUCUAUCGGAGCUACAGCGGAUGGCGGGACUACCU
RNAcentral lists this small RNA (69 nucleotides) under Pedobacter alluvionis. RNAcentral's name for it is "Flavo-1 RNA". It matches the Rfam family "Flavo-1 RNA". The record is from RNAcentral. Lineage: Bacteria; Pseudomonadati; Bacteroidota; Sphingobacteriia; Sphingobacteriales; Sphingobacteriaceae.